CCUACGGGAGGCAGCAGUGAGGAAUAUUGGUCAAUGGGCGCGAGCCUGACCCAGCCAAGCAGCGUGAAGGAUGACUGCCCUCCGGGUUGUAAACUUCUUUUAUAAAGGAAUAAAGUGAGGCACGUGUGCCUUUUUGUAUGUACUUUAUGAAUAAGGAUCGGCUAACUCCGUGCCAGCAGCCGCGGUAAUACGGAGGAUCCGAGCGUUAUCCGGAUUUAUUGGGUGUAAAGGGAGCGUAGAUGGGUUGUUAAGUCAGUUGUGAAAGCUUGCGGCUCAACCGUAAAAUUGCAAUUGAUACUGGCAGCCUUGAGUACUGUAGAGGUAGGCGGAAUUCGUGGUGUAGCGGUGAAAUGCGUAGAUAUCACGAAGAACUCCGAUGGCGAAGGCAGCUUACUAAACUGCCACUGACAUUGAUGCUCGAAAGUGUGGGUAGCAAACAGGAUUAGAUACCCGGGUAGUC
This 460-nucleotide ribosomal RNA is filed under the name uncultured bacterium. Its description in RNAcentral is "partial 16S ribosomal RNA". It matches the Rfam family "Bacterial small subunit ribosomal RNA", at positions 338 to 795 of the family's 1533-position model. The record is from RNAcentral.